Molecule: non-coding RNA, 28 nt
Filed under: Mus musculus (house mouse)
Lineage: Eukaryota; Metazoa; Chordata; Mammalia; Rodentia; Muridae
Source: RNAcentral
UGCCUUGAUGCUGAUGGUUUCCUAUAGA